Molecule: long non-coding RNA, 268 nt
Organism: Dromaius novaehollandiae (emu)
Lineage: Eukaryota; Metazoa; Chordata; Aves; Casuariiformes; Dromaiidae
Exons: 3
Source: RefSeq, a predicted model, not a curated record
AGGAUAAGACGAGCUUCUUGAAGUGAGAUAAAUAUCCAAGCUGCGUCCCAAGUUCUCUGUUUGUCUGGACAAGACAUGCCACAUGCUUCAGAGCUGAGUGGCUGUGGACACAUCUCUAACAUGCACCAGAAGGCAGGACUAGAACUGGGUUACCUCACUUCCAAAACAGCUUAUCCAUCAGGUCCACACUUGUCAAUAGGGAAAAUACUAAGCUUUCUAAGAUGUUUACAACCAAGAAGAAACCUAACGGCUGCUGACAUUGACGAAU